Molecule: ribosomal RNA, 599 nt
Filed under: Sporosarcina globispora
Lineage: Bacteria; Bacillati; Bacillota; Bacilli; Caryophanales; Caryophanaceae
Description: bacterial SSU rRNA
Rfam family: Bacterial small subunit ribosomal RNA
Source: RNAcentral
UGCUCUCUGAUUUUAGCGGCGGACGGGUGAGUAACACGUGGGCAACCUGCCCUACAGAUGGGGAUAACUCCGGGAAACCGGGGCUAAUACCGAAUAAUCAGUUUGUCCGCAUGGACAAACUCUGAAAGACGGUUUCGGCUGUCACUGUAGGAUGGGCCCGCGGCGCAUUAGCUAGUUGGUGGGGUAAUGGCCUACCAAGGCGACGAUGCGUAGCCGACCUGAGAGGGUGAUCGGCCACACUGGGACUGAGACACGGCCCAGACUCCUACGGGAGGCAGCAGUAGGGAAUCUUCCACAAUGGACGAAAGUCUGAUGGAGCAAUGCCGCGUGAGCGAAGAAGGUUUUCGGAUCGUAAAGCUCUGUUGUAAGGGAAGAACACGUACGGGAGUAACUGCCCGUGCCAUGACGGUACCUUAUUAGAAAGCCACGGCUAACUACGUGCCAGCAGCCGCGGUAAUACGUAGGUGGCAAGCGUUGUCCGGAAUUAUUGGGCGUAAAGCGCGCGCAGGCGGUUCUUUAAGUCUGAUGUGAAAGCCCACGGCUCAACCGUGGAGGGUCAUUGGAAACUGGAGAACUUGAGUACAGAAGAGGAAAGCGGA